This 66-nucleotide ribosomal RNA is filed under the name Fructilactobacillus lindneri DSM 20690 = JCM 11027. RNAcentral's name for it is "Lactobacillus lindneri DSM 20690 = JCM 11027 16S rRNA. Bacterial SSU". The record is from RNAcentral. Lineage: Bacteria; Bacillati; Bacillota; Bacilli; Lactobacillales; Lactobacillaceae.
CUGGCUCAGGACGAACGUUGGCGGCGUGCCUAAUACAUGCAAGUCGAACGAGGUCUCCUAACUGAU